AGGCUUCAUAGCUGUCUCCAACACAUUUGUACUCACUCCUUUCAGGAUGGGAUACUUUUUUCAAAGAAGCCAAGGGUUGUCAGCAUAACACUGUCUUUUGUAACCUACCUUCAGGAAAUAACUUACGUCUUUUUCUUUCUUACAACAUAUGAGGCUUAUACUAAUGUAGACUUUACUCAGACAGUAAUAUAUUCAUAUAAUCUUUGAAUCAGAGAAGCUGGAAUUGAAUAAUGCUAUUGGAUGGCAUUCAUGUCAAGGAGAAGAAGAUGCCUUGUUCCUACUGAGGUUCCCAUCCUUACAUGCAGACUAGAAAUAAAAGCUUUUCUAAAAACGGCCCGGGGCUAAGAAGUGAAUGCCGUGUCCCCUGAUUUAAAAGAUGUCCUCAUUACCCAAACCAAAAUGGAAGAGGACCCUGCAAGCAGAACUUCUAAUAUCAGUGCCAGACAGAAUAUACUGUGAG
Molecule: long non-coding RNA, 460 nt
Organism: Vidua chalybeata
Lineage: Eukaryota; Metazoa; Chordata; Aves; Passeriformes; Viduidae
Exons: 3
Source: RefSeq, a predicted model, not a curated record